This 1243-nucleotide ribosomal RNA is filed under the name metagenome. RNAcentral's name for it is "bacterial LSU rRNA". It matches the Rfam family "Bacterial large subunit ribosomal RNA", at positions 1564 to 2817 of the family's 2925-position model. The record is from RNAcentral.
UGAAUACGAGACGCUAAGGCGUCGAAGUAGUGUAUGUCAUACUUCCAAGAAAAGCUUGCACUGUCAUAGAUAAAAAACGCCUGUACCAUAACCGACACAGGUGGGUAGGUAGAGUAUACUAAGGGGCGCGAGAUAACUCUCUCUAAGGAACUCGGCAAAAUAACUCCGUAACUUCGGGAGAAGGAGUGCCUUAUUCGUAAGGUUGCAAUAACAAGAUCCAAGCAACUGUUUAUCAAAAACACAGGUCUCCGCUAAGUCGUAAGACGAUGUAUGGGGGCUGACGCCUGCCCAGUGCCAGAAGGUUAAAGAAGUUGGUUAGCAAUUGCGAAGCUGAUAACUGAAGCCCUGGUGAACGGCGGCCGUAACAAUAACGGUCCUAAGGUAGCGAAAUUCCUUGUCGGGUAAGUUCCGACCCGCACGAAAGGCGUAAUGAUUUGGAUACUGUCUCGGAGAGGGGCUCGGUGAAAUAGACUUGUCUGUGAAGAUGCGGACUACCUGCACCAGGACAGAAAGACCCUAUGAAGCUUUACUGUAACUUGAAAUUGAAAUUGGACUUUAUUCGCGCAGCAUAGGUGGGAGGCGUUGAUUAUAAUCUUGCGGGAUUAUUGGAGCCAUCAGUGAGAUACCACUCUUGUAAUGUUAGAUUUCUAACUUUGAAUCAUUAUCUGGUCAAAGAACAGUUUCAGGCGGGCAGUUUGACUGGGGCGGUCGCCUCCUAAACGGUAACGGAGGCGUACAAAGGUUUCCUCUGAACGGUUAGAAAUCGUAUCUAGAGUGUAAAGGCAUAAGGAAGCUUGACUGUGAGACCUACAAGUCGAGCAGGGACGAAAGUCGGUCUUAGUGAUCUGACGGUACUGAGUGGAAAGGCCGUCACUCAACGGAUAAAAGUUACUCUAGGAUAACAGGCUGAUCUCCCCCAAGAGUUCACAUCGACGGGGAGGUUUGGCACCUUGAUGUCGGCUCAUCGCAUCCUGGGGCGGUAGUACGUCCCAAGGGUUGGGCUGUUCGCCCAUGAAAGCGGUACGCGAGCUGGGUUCAGAACGUCGUGAGACAGUUCGGUCCAUAUCCGGUGUAGGCGUUAGAAUAUUGAGAGGAGCCUUCUUUAGUACGAGAGGACCGAGAAGGACAUACCUCUGGUGUACCAGUUAUCGUGCCAACGGUAAACGCUGGGUAGCUAUGUAUGGAGUGGAUAACCGCUGAAAGCAUCUAAGUGGGAAGCCCACCUCAAGAUAAGUAUUCUCGU